GACGAACGCUGGCGGCGUGCUUAACACAUGCAAGUCGAACGGAAAGGCCUCUUUCGGGGGGUACUCGAGUGGCGAACGGGUGAGUAACACGUGAGUAACCUGCCCUUGACUUUGGGAUAACCUCAGGAAACUGGGGCUAAUACCGGAUAGGAGCUCCUGCUGCAUGGUGGGGGUUGGAAAGUUUCGGCGGUUGGGGAUGGACUCGCGGCUUAUCAGCUUGUUGGUGGGGUAGUGGCUUACCAAGGCUUUGACGGGUAGCCGGCCUGAGAGGGUGACCGGCCACAUUGGGACUGAGAUACGGCCCAGACUCCUACGGGAGGCAGCAGUGGGGAAUAUUGCACAAUGGGUGGAAGCCUGAUGCAGCAACGCCGGGUGCGGGAUGACGGCCUUCGGGUUGUAAACCGCUUUCGCUCAUGACGAAGCUUUGUGUGACGGUAGUGGGUAAAGAAGCACCGGCUAACUACGUG
This 467-nucleotide ribosomal RNA is filed under the name uncultured bacterium. RNAcentral describes it as "partial 16S ribosomal RNA". It matches the Rfam family "Bacterial small subunit ribosomal RNA", at positions 28 to 507 of the family's 1533-position model. The record is from RNAcentral.